Molecule: long non-coding RNA, 6232 nt
Filed under: Equus caballus (horse)
Lineage: Eukaryota; Metazoa; Chordata; Mammalia; Perissodactyla; Equidae
Description: lncRNA (ENSECAG00000053663.1)
Source: RNAcentral
GGGACCUGAUAUGGCAGUUCCUUGAUGUGGGGAGUGUCUUUGCAUCCAGAAAGCCCCGGGGCUGGGGUUCUGGCUUGGUCUUGGAAGGGGUUCUGGGGUGGACUUGGGGGUGCUAUUUGCAAGUUAGAAGCCGAGGCUGGAGUUCUGCGGGGCCUGAGGCUGGGGCUCCGAUCUGCGGGACCCGGGGUCGCUGUCUGCAAUCUGGGCUGGUGACGGCAGGCCCGCAGGGGGGCCCGGAGGGGGCCCGGAGGUCCUACCUGGCGAGUAGAGCGCGGCUAGCUCGCGGGCCCCGGCAUGCUGCGCGCCCCAGCGCCGGCCAUACGCCGCCUCGUCCUCGUCGAGCUCCGGCUGCUGGCCCGGCCCAUCCUCGGCGCCCGCCAUGGCCCCUCGCCCGGCCCGCCUGGCACGCUCCGCUAGCGCUGCUGGCGGCGGCGGCGGCAGGGCCGCGGAAUCGCGGCGAGAUCACGCCGCCCAAUGACUGCCCAGCGCCGGGCGCGGCGGCGGCGCCGGCAGCCGCCUCGCCCGGCCGCGCGUCACAGCCAAUCGGGGCCCGCGCCGGGGCCGCGCCGGCCAAUCAGCGGCCGCCGAGCCGCAGCCAACCGCGGCGCGCGGGGGGCAGGGCCACAGCUGGGCGCAGCUGGGCGCGGAAGCGCAUCUCCGCGGGCUGCCCUGCGCCCCCGGGCCGGCCCGGCCCGGUCCGCCUCCCCGACACGCGCGGGCCGGCACCGCCCACCAUGGGCUCGGCCGCUGGGCCUGCGCAGUGGGCCGGAGUUGUGCGCCGCCGCGCCCAGAAACGGGCCUGUUUUCAGCCCGCACCGCCAAGCGCCUACUGUGUGCAAGGAGCGCGAGCGGAGGGCGCGGGGACGGGGCCAGGGAGCCCUCGCUUGGAGGACUCUUUGAAUAGUGCUCCCUAGCUGGGGCCGGUUUGCGCUGGGCUGCCUUAUGGAGCCUCACCACCUGCAGAGAUGACGAGGACCGUGCGUACACCUACUGGGUGCCGGCUUGUGCUGUGCGCCCUGGGGAGGAGAAACGUCGAGCCUGACCCCCAGGAGCUCCUGUUCUCCCCAGGGAGAGGACAGUAAACCGAUGAGAAUGACCCUAAGAGUCACUGUAAGAUUUGGCAUUUUACAGACCCCAAAAAAUGUGAAGGGUCUUCCCACCCGCCAGGCUUACACUGAGAACACUUUCUGGGAUGUUCUUGGGACUGUGACCUGAAUGGGGACCAUGGAUCCUGGGCAAAAUCAUGCAAUGACUUUCCUCUUCCUAGGAGCAGAUUUAGCCCUGAGCUAACAUCUGCUGCCAAUCCUCCUCUUUUUGCUGAGCAAGACUGGCCCUGAGCUAACAUCUGUGCCCAUCUUCCUCUACAUUAUACGUGAGACACCUACCGCAGCAUGGCUUGAUAAGUGGUGCGUAGGCCCGUGCCCUGGAUCUGAACUGGUGAACCCUGGGCCACAGAAGCAGAGUGCAUGAACUUAACUGCUGUGUCACCGGGCCAGCCCCUAACAUCUUUAUUAUUAAACUGAUGACUACCAAGGUCAUUGUACCCAUUCCAAAGACAUAAAACAUACACCUUCCCAAAGAGAAGAAAAUCAGUAACAUCCACAAAUCUGCUGAAAGAAUUUGUAUUUAGGGGCUGCCGCCGUGGCCGAGUGGUUAAGUUCACAUGCUCUGCUGCAGGCGGCCCAGUGUUUCGUUGGUUCGAAUCCUGGGCGCGGACAUGGCACUGCUCAUCAAACCACGCUGAAGCAGCGUCCCACAUGCCACAACUAGAAGGACCCACAGUGAAGAAUAUACAACUAUGUACUGGGGGGCUUUGGGGAGAAAAAGGAAAAAAAUAAAAUCUUAAAAAAAAAAAAAGGAAUUUGUAUUUAGAAGUCCCGAUUGUAGGCGCUGUACAGCUAAAGCACUGGUUCUUAACUGAGGAUAUUUUGGGCCCCCGGGGGACAUUUGGCAAUGUCUGGAGACACUUGUGGCUGUCACACCACGGGUGACAUGCUCCUGGCUGCUGAACAUCCUGCCGUACACACGACAGCCCCACAAACACAGGGUUCUCCAGCCCCACAUGACAAUCGAGCUGAGGGUGAGAAACUAAUCGGUCAGGAAACUGGGGAGAGACGCUUUCCUCUGUUGCACUUGGAGCACCCCACGGAUCUAAAUUCACCCCCGCAAUUCUGCUGCUCUCAGGCUGCCCUGGGAAGCCCCACUCCUACAGGCACAGGGAGGCCCAGCCAAGUCUGUUUACAGGGCUCCAAACUGGAACCAACCCAUAUGCCCCAUUAGGAGAAGACUGAUGGAAUAAAACUGUGCUUGCAGCUCUUCCCCCGACUCUGCCGCUCUUCUGUAAAAUGGGGCUGGGGAGGGGGGAUUGGAGGGGUGCUAGGAAUCCUGGGCCCAGCUGCUACUUUACGAUUUAUGUGCAUAAGUCCUUCUGACUCAUGUGUGAUUGAUGCAUUAGGAUUCUGUGCUGACAUGUCUCGGGCUUUUAUUGACAAGUCUGGAGGCUGCCAGAAUGUCUCUCCACUGGAAUCGAAGGCGGGGCUGCUGCCGAGCCACCUUUGGCUCCUGAGGGCCCAGCUCAGGGUCUGGCUCAUUUUAAAAGCAACUGCCAUUUCUUUAGUGCCAGCUGUAUACCAGGCUGAGUGCUGAGGCUGCUUUGUGACUCUCGCGCUCCCGCACGGGGAUGAGCACAUUUACUCUCUUGCUUCCGUUUUAUAAAGGAGGAAACUGAGGCUCAGAGAGGGCAUGAUACGCAGCUGGGGAAGGCGGAAUUGGGAUUCAGACCUAAGAUGAGUCAAUUUCCAAAGUCCACGCUCUUUCCAGUCUACUGAAUCUUCUCUGUGCGUCGUAGGCGCUCAGAAAAUGCGUGAGUGGCAGAGAACAGACAAUAUAUGCAUUGGUAACAGUACCCCUAGUUUUAGCAGAGAACAUGGCUGCCCAGCCCUGUCAGUUAAGGACUGACCACUGUUUCCAGCCUCCCUUGCAGCAGUGUAGGACAUCUGACUAACUCUGGCCAAAAGAAUGAGAGGGAAAGUGGCACAAAGCAUUCUGGUUUGUGUCCCUAAAUGGGUUGAAUUCUACUUCCUUUUCUAUACUUCCCACUGGCAGGAAUGUAGACGUGAUGGCAGUGCCAGAGCAGUUACCUUGGACCAUGAGGUGGAAACUGCCGGUUGAAGAUGGAAGAGCAGCUGUAAGAUAGCAAGAAUCUGAGUCCCUGAUACCACGAAGCUGAUGUGGGCUCGGCGAGCUGAGGAGUCAGAAGAAAGAUUUCUUGGAGUCUUCAGGUCUGCAUGGAGCCUGCAUCUCGCCAGUGCAUCUCUUAAAAGAACGUAUGGAUGAGUGCAUGACGGGGAGCCGUGAGAUCCAGCCCUGCACCUGGAAAAAGGCACAAAGACCACACUCAAGCCUGGGUGGAAGCAUCGUCCAAAUGCAGUGGAAAAAUUUAUGGCCAGAGGAACUAGUUCCAAACCUGGCCCUUCUCCUCGCUUGCUGUGUGCCCCUGGAUAACCCACGUGCCCUCUCUGGGCCUGACACUCCUUGGUUGCAAACCAGGCUUAGCAAAUUCAUGGACUCUGUGCAAUUUAAAGAUUUUCAUUGCUCUUUGCAAUUCUAUUUCUAGAAAUCCAUUCCCAGAGAAAUUCUCACCUCACACCCCAUGAACACAGGUACAAGGAUGUAGCUUGGUUUGUGGAGUAAAACCCUGGAAAUAUCCUCAAAGGUGAUUAAUUAAACUGCGGCACAUUCAUGUUCUAGAGUGCUAGAGAGCUGACUGUGGCCGCGAGGAAUUCUCUGGUGACACUUGCUGGCACAGAAUGACACUGCAGCCCAGCUCAGCAAGGCACUGGGAAUUUCCAGAACCAGAGAGGCUCAGGGUAGCUGUGAGGAUGGUCUGGGAAGCCAUAGACCAGGGGGAGGUUUGGGAGGACGGCUGAGGCAAGGUGACUGGCCAGGGUGUGAAGUCGAGAGCAGAGACCCGGGUGUGAACUCCAGCUUCACCACUUCCUAGCUGGCGGAGCUUGGGCAGAUUAGGGACUUUCUCUGACCCUCAGUCUCUUCUUCUAGAGAAUGAGAUGUCUGAUGAGGAUUCAAAGAGAGAAUUCAUUCAUUCAUCAUCUAUUGAACCAACACUGAGCCCCUCUGAUGUCAGUGGUUGAUGAGAGUCUCCAGGCACUGAGGGUGCACCAGGACCUGGUCCUGCCCUCAUGGGGCUCUCAGUCUAGUGGGGGAGACAAUCAACAAGUAAACAGGCAGACAAGGUAAUUUCAGGUACUGAUGACACCGUAAAGGAAAAUAAAGCAGGGGAUGGGUCUGGGGGUGGAGGCACAUUACAGACACGGGCUCGGGGAGGGCGUCUCGGAGAGGGUGUGAGCAGAGGCCUGAAGGAGCCACAUCUUGGAGCACAACAUAUAAGACGCCAGUGGACGAACCUGGCACAUAGCAAAUCUCAAUAAACGCUGGGUCAUUGUCUCAUCACGCGGGAAAGGAAUUAAAGGGAGACUGGAAUCCGUCUCCUGGGGUCUGAGGCAGGCACGAGAGUGAGAAGAUUCCCGGGGCCUGGAGGGGGAGAAGCAGCCCCUGGACCGAGCGGCCCCAGCUCUGGAGGCCUUGCGCAAACAAGUGUCUAAGCCUCCAUUUCGUCCUUCGGAAAACAAGGCCAAUAAUGCCCACCCUGUGAUAUUGGGGGUUGUUACGGGCUGAACUGUGUCCCCCCAAAUCCAUGUAUUGAAGUCCUAGCCCCCAGGACCUCCAAUGGGACUGUGUUUGGAGAGCGGUUUUUGAAGAGGUGGUUAAGGUAAAAUGAGGUCAUGAGGGUGGGCCCGAAUCCACUAGGACCGGUGUCCCUGUGAGAAGAGGAGAUGAGGUCACGGGCACACACAGAGGGAUGACCUUGUGAAGACACAGGGAGAGGACAACCAUCCACAAGCCAAGGAGAGAGGCCUCAGAGGGAACCAAUGCUGCUGACACUUUGAUCUUAGACUUCCAGCCUCCAGAACCACAAGACGAUAAACUUCCAUGGUUUAAGCUGCCCGGUCUGCGGUCCUUUCUUAUGGCAGCUGUGCAGGGGAGUACGGGUGACGUAGGACACAGGCACACAGGGCCCUCGAGAGAGGCUGCCCCGGAGCCCGACUCGUGAACCCUCAGCAUCUCUGCAGACUCCAGGCCAGUCUCAAGAUUGCCGCGGUUGCUCUGAAGCUGGGCCCAGUGUGCCUCUGGAUUGCCUAGCCUUGGGGACCCAGCUCACUUAGUUUCUGCCCUGCCCUCUGGUUCAUUACUCCAUCAAUCCACAAACUUCACGUGGUGCCCCUGCGGCCAUUCUGUAAAUUAUGGCGUGGCGGGUGCAUCAGCUGGGGUCCAGUCUGGAAAGCGGAGAUCACUCUGGGCAUUUCAAACAGAAGGAAUGGCGUACAGGGAAGUGCUUAUACAGACGAUGGGAGAGCUGAGACGCCAAAAGGGCAGGAUUAGGCACCCUGGAAUGGGCCACAGCCGGAGGCCAGAGGCACAGAAGGAGGCUGUGGUGUCACUGGAUACAAAAAGCCAGGGCUAGAACCACAUGGGGGCUGCCUGGUGGGAACUGGGACCAGGAAGGGAGGGCCUCUUGGGUAGGGGCUGUUCCUCUGUCCUCAGAGCCAUUGCCCGCCCUUCCUCCAUUCUUCACUGAAUUACAGAGUGGCUGACCUCUGCCGGCUGCAUUGCCCAGACUCCGGGUGGGCUGACUUCCCAUUGGCCAAUAGGUGGUCAUGAUGGGAGACAGGAGGCUGGAGGAAGGGAGAAGCAGAAUAUUUCUCCCUCUCUUCUGACAUCUUGGGCUGCAUCUCCAUCAACCGUGGUGUCUCCCCCAGGGCUCCAGCCCUCGCAGGACAGUCCACAGUGCUUCCAGCUUCGCAGAGUGACCACAGGGCUACUGUAAUGUUACCUCCUCCUGCCAUCCCUCCAGCUUCAAGGUGGCAAUGGCUUUCUGCUGAAAUCUCUGAGCUGCUUCACCGUCUCUUGUUUGGCUUCUGGGCCCCUCCGUCAUCUCGGUACCGCGUUCUCUGCUGGAAAGUCUGUCUGUGUAAACGCUCAGUGGUUUCCUUUCCCGAUAUGAGGAAAGGACCUGAGAGCUAACUGGCAAGCGGCCAGCCCAGAAGGCCUCUCUUGCCCCUUUGUCCUUCUUACAGAUAAAAGCCGGGCAGCCUGCAGAUGGCAGAGGCAGCUGGGUGUUAGGGAUCAAAGGCUGGCCCUCGAGUCAGGCAGG